GCUUUCCUGUGGCUCAGUUGGUAGAGCGUUGCGUCAAAAUGCAAUGGUUGUGGAUUCAAAUCUCAGGGAAAGCA
This is a non-coding RNA of Danionella cerebrum, 74 nucleotides long. The record is from the annotation of a GenBank genome assembly. NCBI's taxonomy places the organism in Eukaryota, Metazoa, Chordata, Actinopteri, Cypriniformes, Danionidae.